UGGGCUGCCAGCACCUGAAAUAAAUUUCUCCAUUUCUCUUUUCCAAGCCCUCAUCUCUUGAGUUACUGGCUUCUCUUGCAACAAAUUUAUCUGAAUUUGCUCAGCAACAGUUGACAAACCCAGCCAGGAGCUAUGCUUUCCAUUUGCCCAGAGAACCUUCUGGAUUUCCUGGAACGGAGCCGUUGGCCAGGGUAGUGUGCCGGGAGUCACACAUUGGUUUCCCGAGUCAGCAGCUGGGAUGGAUCCGUCAGCAAUGGAAAAGAGGAGGUUAAAUAGUCCACACAGGAGGCUGAGUAUACAGUACCAGAGCCAUUGGAAGAAACUAGGAGAAGGUGGAGUCACAGAUGCUAAGAAAAUAAUAUCAAGAAACUCGGGAGUGACCAACGGUAUCCAGUGCCACAAGAAAAUCAAGAUGAGAGAAAAUUAUCUUUUGAGGUGGAGAAGGCUUACAUUUUAAUUGAAGCACCGUGUUGUUACCCGACGCUCAGUAAGCCUGUGUCUGAGACACCGGUUUUGAAACAAAAGAAGCAGCCCUAGGAGCCUUGGUGGCUCAGUCAGUUAAGUGUCUGCCUUCCUCUGAGGUCAUGGUCUCAGGGUCCUGGGAUAAUGUUAGGUCGGCGGGCUCUGGGAGUGCAGGAGGAACAAUAGAAAUGACCGCCGGUCCCGCCAUCUUCCAGCCUCCUCCCCUGCUUUCCUUCACCCUUGACUCUCCCGCCAAAAGGAUGUAUGCCCAGGUCACGCCUCCAUAGGUAACCCGAUACCUAUGCAGGAAACAGAUAAAAGACUCCCACCAACUCCCUCCCAGUGCGACUUCCCCCACUCUGCUUUCCAGAGUCUGGGGAACCUCGCCUGGCACCUCCUCCCAGAGCAACUUUCCUGGCUCCCCUUCUCCUGAGCCCUGAAACUUCAUGGGAGAGUGUCUUUAAUAAAUCUUGCCUUGCACCCACUUCGCCUGGUGUUGUGUUUAUCUCACCUGUAAAACCUUACAGAUAGAGCCCUGCAUCAGGCCCCCUGCUCGGUGGGGAGUCUGCUUCUCCCUCUCCCUCUGCUGCUCUCUCUCUCAAGUAAAUAAAUAAAAAAAUCUUAAAAAAAAAGAAAAAGAAAAAAGAAAGGCAGCCCAGGAAGAAGGCAGGGGAUUAUUCCCAAAGCUGCCUUGCUUACGUUGAGCCUAGGGACAGAUUAUAUAUGUUUGGGGAAGGAAAUGAGUUCGUGAGAGGAGGGUGCAGUGUUUCUUGAAACCUUCAGGGAGGGUGGCUUGAAGCAGUUUGGAGGUGUGCAUUCUUUCAGACAAUGAGGAGCCAUUUGGGACCUGGUACGAUUAGGUAUGUCAGAUAAUUCAAGACAAAUGUUACUGUUUGGUCCCCUUUAGGUUUCUACAAUCAGUGGGUGAGCAGGAAGUUGCAGGAAGUUGGAGUGGAAAAAGCAAAGUUAAUGAUUAAUAAGAUGUGCAUAAAACUGUAAUUAAGUAGGGAAAAAACAGAACGUGGAGCGAAGUGAAUAAUGCAACUAAUACAACUAGAGUUGUACUCAUGCUUUGAAAACAGGUCUAGGAACCAAGCAUCUGGCCUCACCUCCUGCUUAUAUUCUUCUGCCUGGUCUAGUGGCUCUACCGGAAAUUUCUACGUGUUUACUUUGUGCCUUCAGAUACUCAAAGUUCAUGUGCAGCUGCAUAUUUAGAUCUAUUGAUUAACUUGGCAGUAUUUGGUAACGAGCAGGAUGACUGGGUUGAUUCUCCAACAGGUCACCCGCUUUAAUGCAAAGCUAGUCUGAUAAUAAGCGCGGUCCUGUCACUCAGAGCUAGGAGAUAACAGAAAGUAUGUACAGAUCUCCCACAACUUACUGUUACUGAUCUAUCAUAGCUGCUAACCUAGAACAUGAAUAGGGAAGCCCUGGCCAGCUGCUGUGACAGCCCCUCAGUCCCAGCGAAUGCCCUGGGGGCUGGAAAGCUUAGCUCCUGGCUGGGAUUGCCAACACUCUUGCUGAAAAACUUGAAUAAACUAACUGGUCACCAGAGAAGCUGAUCACUCGAGAGGCUGGGGUUUAGAAAAGAGAAAGGGAGAAAUUUAUUUCAGGUGCUGGCAGCCUGGGCAGGUGGCAGGCUCAAGCCUUAAUAAUCAACUUUUUUGCCUUCCAGAUGGACACCUUAAGUUCUACAGGGAGAGGUUCAGGGGGGUAUACGCAUACUUCAGUAUGACCAGUGUCUUUAUAAAAUGGGGAAAUCUAGGUACAGAGACAUACACAGAGGGUGUCAUAUAAAUGAGACACAGGGAGAAGAUAGCCACCUACACGUCAAGGAGGGAUAUAUGGAACAGAUCCUUCCCUCACAGCCCUUAGAAGAAACCUAUGCUAACACCUUGAUUUCAAAUCUCUAGCCUCCAAACAAUGACUUUCUGUCAUUUAAGCCACCCAGUUUCGGGUACUUUGUUUGGCAGUCCUACAAAACUAAUAUAAGUGGUUUUCAGGGUAGGAGGUGAGGCAAGGGUUAACUACAGUGGGUCACAAAGGAACUUUUUGAGGUGAUGGAAAUGCUCUAUGUCUUGAUUGUGAUGGUUACAUGAUUGAUGGAAUGUGUUUGUCAGAAAUCACAGAACUCCAUGCUAAAAAGGGAAAAUAUUAUUCCUUGUAGAAUUAUACCUCUAGGAACCUGACUUGAAUAUAUUAACAGAAAAACUAGAUUAAAAAAUUUACUUUUAAAAAUUAAAAAUUAGAAAAGUGACCCAAGAUGUAUGUAUGUAUAUUAACAUUGAUCAUAAUAACAACACAGCAGAAGAAAACACUGUGUCCCAAUAUUAGAUUCUUUGAGCAUUAGAGUUACCCUUUCCAGAAACAAGAUUCUUUCCCUGAUGGACCUUACAUUUUAGCAGAUGAGACAGCC
Mustela putorius furo (domestic ferret) is the source of this 2875-nucleotide long non-coding RNA. NCBI's taxonomy places the organism in Eukaryota, Metazoa, Chordata, Mammalia, Carnivora, Mustelidae. The record is from Ensembl.